AUUGAACGCUGGCGGCAUGCCUUACACAUGCAAGUCGAACGGCAGCACGGGUGCUUGCACCUGGUGGCGAGUGGCGAACGGGUGAGUAAUACAUCGGAACAUGUCCUGUAGUGGGGGAUAGCCCGGCGAAAGCCGGAUUAAUACCGCAUACGAUCUACGGAUGAAAGCGGGGGACCUUCGGGCCUCGCGCUAUCGGGUUGGCCGAUGGCUGAUUAGCUAGUUGGUGGGGUAAAGGCCUACCAAGGCGACGAUCAGCAGCUGGUCUGAGAGGACGACCAGCCACACUGGGACUGAGACACGGCCCAGACUCCUACGGGAGGCAGCAGUGGGGAAUUUUGGACAAUGGGCGAAAGCCUGAUCCAGCAAUGCCGCGUGUGUGAAGAAGGCCUUCGGGUUGUAAAGCACUUUUGUCCGGAAAGAAAUCCUUGGCCCUAAUACGGUCGGGGGAUGACGGUACCGGAAGAAUAAGCACCGGCUAACUACGUG
This 486-nucleotide ribosomal RNA is filed under the name uncultured bacterium. Its description in RNAcentral is "partial 16S ribosomal RNA". It matches the Rfam family "Bacterial small subunit ribosomal RNA", at positions 30 to 507 of the family's 1533-position model. The record is from RNAcentral.